AGAGUUUGAUCCUGGCUCAGGACGAACGCUGGCGGCGUGCUUAACACAUGCAAGUCGAACGGAAAGGCCCUUCGGGGUACUCGAGUGGCGAACGGGUGAGUAACACGUGGGUGAUCUGCCCUGCACUUUGGGAUAAGCCUGGGAAACUGGGUCUAAUACCGAAUAUGACCAUGCACUUCCUGGUGUGUGGUGGAAAGCUUUUGCGGUGUGGGAUGGGCCCGCGGCCUAUCAGCUUGUUGGUGGGGUAAUGGCCCACCAAGGCGACGACGGGUAGCCGGCCUGAGAGGGUGACCGGCCACACUGGGACUGAGAUACGGCCCAGACUCCUACGGGAGGCAGCAGUGGGGAAUAUUGCACAAUGGGCGCAAGCCUGAUGCAGCGACGCCGCGUGAGGGAUGACGGCCUUCGGGUUGUAAACCUCUUUCAGCACAGACGAAGCGCAAGUGACGGUAUGUGCAGAAGAAGGACCGGCCAACUACGUGCCAGCAGCCGCGGUAAUACGUAGGGUCCGAGCGUUGUCCGGAAUUACUGGGCGUAAAGAGCUCGUAGGUGGUUUGUCGCGUUGUUCGUGAAAACUCACAGCUUAACUGUGGGCGUGCGGGCGAUACGGGCAGACUUGAGUACUGCAGGGGAGACUGGAAUUCCUGGUGUAGCGGUGGAAUGCGCAGAUAUCAGGAGGAACACCGGUGGCGAAGGCGGGUCUCUGGGCAGUAACUGACGCUGAGGAGCGAAAGCGUGGGGAGCGAACAGGAUUAGAUACCCUGGUAGUCC
This 771-nucleotide ribosomal RNA is filed under the name uncultured bacterium. RNAcentral's name for it is "bacterial SSU rRNA". It matches the Rfam family "Bacterial small subunit ribosomal RNA", at positions 8 to 796 of the family's 1533-position model. The record is from RNAcentral.